RNAcentral lists this microRNA precursor (76 nucleotides) under Myotis brandtii (Brandt's bat). RNAcentral's name for it is "mir-9229 microRNA precursor family". It matches the Rfam family "mir-9229 microRNA precursor family". The record is from Rfam by way of RNAcentral. Lineage: Eukaryota; Metazoa; Chordata; Mammalia; Chiroptera; Vespertilionidae.
GAAACACUCCUGUGGAGCAGGACUUGCUUCAGUGGGGCUUUGGUGCUCACUGAGUCUGCCUCUUGAGUAUGUUGCU